RNAcentral lists this ribosomal RNA (121 nucleotides) under Propithecus coquereli (Coquerel's sifaka). Lineage: Eukaryota; Metazoa; Chordata; Mammalia; Primates; Indriidae. The record is from RNAcentral.
GUCUAUGGCCAUAUCACCCUGAACACGCCCAAUCUUGUCUGAUCUCAGAAGCUAAGCAGGGUUGAGCCUGGUUAGGACUUGGAUGCGAGACCUCCUGGGAAUACCGGGUGGGCUUUAAAAA